UACGAAGGGGGCUAGCGUUGCUCGGAAUCACUGGGCGUAAAGCGCACGUAGGCGGAUCUUUAAGUCAGGGGUGAAAUCCUGGAGCUCAACUCCAGAACUGCCUUUGAUACUGGGGAUCUCGAGUCCGGAAGAGGUGAGUGGAACUCCGAGUGUAGAGGUGAAAUUCGUAGAUAUUCGGAAGAACACCAGUGGCGAAGGCGGCUCAC
RNAcentral lists this ribosomal RNA (206 nucleotides) under uncultured bacterium. RNAcentral describes it as "partial 16S ribosomal RNA". It matches the Rfam family "Bacterial small subunit ribosomal RNA", at positions 524 to 729 of the family's 1533-position model. The record is from RNAcentral.